RNAcentral lists this ribosomal RNA (253 nucleotides) under uncultured bacterium. RNAcentral's name for it is "partial 16S ribosomal RNA". It matches the Rfam family "Bacterial small subunit ribosomal RNA", at positions 524 to 776 of the family's 1533-position model. The record is from RNAcentral.
GACGUAGGGGGCCAGCGUUGUUCGGAAUUACUGGGUGUAAAGGGUUCGUAGGCGGUGUGGCAAGUUGGGAGUGAAAUCUCUGGGCUCAACCCAGAGGCUGCUUCCAAAACUGCUGUGCUUGAGUGUGAGAGAGGCUCGUGGAAUUGCAGGUGUAGCGGUGAAAUGCGUAGAUAUCUGGAGGAACACCGGUGGCGAAGGCGGCAUCCUGGACCAACACUGACACUGAGGAGCGAAAGCCAGGGGAGCAAACGGG